Molecule: long non-coding RNA, 696 nt
Organism: Solanum pennellii
Lineage: Eukaryota; Viridiplantae; Streptophyta; Magnoliopsida; Solanales; Solanaceae
Exons: 5
Source: RefSeq, a predicted model, not a curated record
UUUUGACUUCACUUUCCUUUUUCAGACUUUCCUUUUCACGUUUCUCUUUUCAGCAGAAGAAUUGGCUGACUAAAGGUUCCGAUACAAGCUGAAGAACUAAAGGUUUGAAGUGAAGAGAGGUGAAGAUAGCUGAAGAAGUAGUUCUCUUUUCUGAUACAAGCUAAAGAUUCGAUGAACUGAGCUGACGAGUUGAACGAUUCCUUGAAGAGUAAGAACGAUUUCUUUAAGAAAGAAAUGAAUAUUGUUGGGUUGUUGACAUGAUGAUGAACUGAAGCUAAUUAGUCUCUCCGUCACACUUUUCUCUCAAGCGUCUCACUGAAGAACACGAUUUCAAAGAGAUUUUGUUGGAUUUGGGUUUAUCAGAUUUGUUUACUAGAGGAAUUGAUAUUCAAGCAGUUAACGUUGUUAUCAAUUCUGAUUUUCCUAAGAACUCAGAAACGUAUUUGCACAGGGUUGGACGAUCAGGGAGAUUUGUGAAGCUUGGUUUAGCUGUUAGCCUGGUUACUUUUGAGGAUCACUUCACUUUAACCAAAAUCAACAUUCAAAAACAUUUGUGGAGGAUUCAAAGUUUGAUUUGACAUAACACAAGUGUCAUGACUAUGUAAGAAACUAUUAUCAUCUCAUGACACCUGAUUUUUGUAACUUAAUCAUGAAUUUAAUGAUUCUUAUUGAAAUAUCAAAUAUUUAUAUCUUCUU